RNAcentral lists this non-coding RNA (912 nucleotides) under Pentaceraster mammillatus. The record is from RNAcentral. Lineage: Eukaryota; Metazoa; Echinodermata; Asteroidea; Valvatida; Oreasteridae.
AACCAAUUUGGUCCUGGUUCUUCGAAUCAGCUGCCCCCAGGACGAUACAUGCAAACUAAUAGUGAAACGGUGAGGAAAAAAGCGAGGACCUUAAAACGAGAAGCUUUAACAGACAUCAGGACACACUCCACCAAUCCCCGUGUACUCCCAAGACGUCGAGGAACCCUUCUUGCCCCACAACUGCAGUACCUAACCUUAUACAAUAGGCAAUAGCCUGAUAUAGCCACGGGGGCCCAGAGCCGGUAAAUCAUGUGCCAGCCACCGCGGUUAUACAUGAGACACGAGUUGAAACACUUCGGCAAAAAGGUGAUAAUUUCUCAACGGGGUUGACGCUCUCUCAAGCAGUAACAAGCUAACAGACCCCUAAACACAACACCCUAACCCCGAAAUACCCGCGCCUAAAAAAAUCAUCAAAGCUCAAAGAUAAACUGGGAUUAGAUACCCCACUAUAUGAGCCGUAAAACACCCCAAACGCCAGAGUACUACAAACCAAAGUUUAAAACUCAAAGGACUUGGCGGUUUUCUAGACCUCCCUGGAGGAGCUUGCCAUCAAACCGACAACCCACGUCAAACCUCACCAACCUUUGAAAACCCAGCCUGUAUACCAUCGUCGUCAGUCUACCCCAUGAGGGAAGUAUACAUAAUGGAGAACUAUCCUCCACUACGUCAGAUCGAGGUGCAGCUAAUAGGUUGGGGAUGAGUGAGCUACUAUAAUUAAACCACAAACAACCCAAAUAUGGACGGCCCCCUGAAAAGGGGGCCUAAAAUAGGAUUCAGUAGUAACAUUUAACAGAAAAUAAAUGUAAAACCCCCACCCAGCUCUAGAAUUCGCACACAUCGCCCGUCACUCUCGUCCACAGAGGAGAAAAGUCGUAACAAAGUAGGCGUAUUGGAAAAUGCGCCUGGAACAAC